This is a long non-coding RNA of Gallus gallus (chicken), 977 nucleotides long. The record is from Ensembl. NCBI's taxonomy places the organism in Eukaryota, Metazoa, Chordata, Aves, Galliformes, Phasianidae.
AAUAUAAGGUUACUUACAGUUCACUCUUCUAUAAAGCAGUUGAUAAUCCACUAGACGUGAUGUUAAACAAGAACUACUAUGGGCCACUCUGAAACAUAGUAGAAAAGAUAUUUUUUCAGGUACUGACAGCAUGCCUUGCUUAUCACUACUUCUAACACAUUACCAGAAAAUCUCUUAAGAUCUCCAACUAUGAAGGAGAUUUUUACUGACUUCUAUCACACUAUAAUUGUACAUAAAACCUGGAAGAUAAGCUUGGUGCUCAGAAGCCAUGCUGAUAUAUGUUUGGGGAUAGGAGGCAGGUGACAUGCCAACGUAGUUUAGUGAAAUAUUGGUCACCUCCUGGGACAAGGCUUGCUGAAGUCAAUUCUGCCUGUAGAAAAAUCAGUGGGGCUACACAAAUGCACACUAAGUGCUCUGUAAGCACUGCAAAUGCCACUAUAACGUCUCCCCGGAGCCUUCAUGUGUCCAAGUGCCAUAAGCUGGGGAGCACAAGACCAGCUGCUGAAUGGAUCCAUCUCAUAUACAGGAUAUACACUCCCAGUGAAGGACUCACUCCACCAGGAAGGGGAAAAGGUUUUUGAUGAAGCUGAGAUGGCACCAUUGCGUGUUUCCAGGAUUAGAAAUGUUAAUGUUUCCUUCACCACAUUUGGGUGCUGCUUUCGACAGAGUAUGGCAUAGCAGACACAGACCUGCUGUGUUGCAGAUUUUGCCAGGCUCAGUAACAGUCAUCAUAUGCUGCUUUAAAUCUUCCUGCCUUUUUUAUAUUAUUUUACUUUAUUUUUCCUCUUCUGCAGCAUAAUCGCUGCAGAUGUAUAAAACUCUGUGUUAUUUGUAAAGUGAAACCUAUACUGUAAUGAUAGUGUUUUGCUUCUGAUAAAAAGCAUUCUUCUUUGGACAUGUUGCAAACAAGAGAUUAGCUGUUCUCCUUUCCUAUUCUCUGCAUACUAAUUCCACUAAAACUGCUAUGUUAUGCAAGC